Non-coding RNA from Sturnus vulgaris (Common starling), 1086 nucleotides. The record is from RefSeq and is a predicted model, not a curated record. Lineage: Eukaryota; Metazoa; Chordata; Aves; Passeriformes; Sturnidae.
GAUGAAAUACUCUUAAGCUACGUGCAGCUACAUGGCCUGCCCUCUUCAUUGCCUCAAACCGUUUUUUUUCCAUGUUUUUCCUUAUUGACACAACUAUUGAUGAGCCAAUGCAUCUCUUCUAUAGAGAUCCCUCUUUACAACCACUGAUCCACCAUAAACACAGGAAAACCUGCCUCUGCUCCACAUUCAUGCUCACUCAGCACAACAUGUAGUGGUUGUGAUACUUUCUUGCAGUGAUAGAGCCCUGACCUUAAAUUCCUGAGUGAAAUCUAAGAGAACAAAGCCAUAUAUCCCAGCGAGUUUGGGAACAGGAGUAAGAACCUUAAUGAGGCAAAAUCCCAAUAGAGAAGGACUGCUUCAUAUCCUGACAUGCUUCUAUAUCCAAUUUGUUGGAAUUUGGUGGAUUCCCAUUUGGAGACAUGGUGAGAUAGAUGGAUUUCUUGCAGGGAAGUUGCAGUCAAACCCUGCUGAAAUGCCAAGAAUGCCCAUUGCCUGUAUCAGCUUUUUCUGGUGCAAUACCAAACCCAUUCUACUACUCAACCAGGAGACUGGGAGAAUAACUUCCAAACAGCCAGUUUUCUUCACCCACGAGAACUGCAGGCUCCAGUGCACUACAGACAUGCUCCGAGCUCUGAACAAGCAAGGACCCUUUGUGCAAUCCUCUAAGCAGACCCCUGGGCUCCGUGUUGCUCUGCCUGAGUAGAGCUGAUGUGACCAUUUGAGGGGUUCCUCAUGACUGCCGAACACGAGUGGGAUUCACAGUGACUCCCCUCCUUCUCCAGCUGCCUCUGAACAACUCACUCCCACACUCCAGCCUAUGGCAAGAGAACCUUCUCAAGAUUCUCUUCUGAUGAAGUGACAUCUCCUGUGGCUGCAGUGUUGGGCCUGGCCCUGGGUCUGCAGUGGCUGGGGAACACCAUGGUUUCCCCAUACAUUUCCCAGGGUGACAAGGGUUUGAGCUGUUCUUGCCUUUGUGUCUCCACUUGACCCAUGCAAUGGCAGUGGGAUGGCUCUGUGAACCAGAGAGAACUGAUCCAGGCUUGUACACUUUUUCAGGGAAGAAAUUAAACUUUGAAUCAUCCCUCA